UAAUCGCUGAAAGGGAAGCGAAUGGAACCAGUCUUCUGGCUGAGAUUGUUGCGUGCUACUGUGAUGCCUGGCUGCUUCAACGCAAGUGUGGCAGUUAGAGUUGAUCAGCUGUGCGUGAUGUUUCUCAGCUUGUUAGUCAACCUUUGUUCGUGCUUGGGGAUAACUGCGGGUUCCAUGUUCUUCUCNGCGGAGUUGAGCUCGUGCCUGUAAGGACUCAGGUGUGUACAAUUGGUGACAAAAUGGUUCUCUUCGACCCGUCUUNAAACACGGACCAAGGAGUCUAGCACAUGUGCAAGUUCACAGGUGGCAANCCUNCUUGCGCAAUGAAGGUGACUNCUGGGAUAUUUGCACCAGCAACCGACCAAUCAAUUGAGAGAAGUUUGAGUAUGAGCAUAUGUGUU
Molecule: ribosomal RNA, 401 nt
Filed under: Pelagodinium bei
Lineage: Eukaryota; Dinophyceae; Suessiales; Suessiaceae
Description: eukaryotic LSU rRNA
Rfam family: Eukaryotic large subunit ribosomal RNA
Source: RNAcentral